Molecule: ribosomal RNA, 479 nt
Filed under: uncultured bacterium
Lineage: Bacteria
Description: bacterial SSU rRNA
Rfam family: Bacterial small subunit ribosomal RNA
Source: RNAcentral
UGCAAGUCGAACGGGGUGGCCGGCUUCGGGCUCGGUGCCUAGUGGCGAACGGGUGGCGUAACACGUGAGCAACCUGCCGGGUGGUGGGGGAGUAACCCAUGGAAACGUGGGCUAAUACCGCAUGAGUUCAGGCUAUCGAGUGAUGGCUUGAGGAAAGGUGCUUUCGGGCACUGCCAUCUGAGGGGCUCGCGGCGUAUCAGCUAGUUGGUGGGGUAACGGCUCACCAAGGCGACGACGCGUAGCCGAUCUGAGAGGAUGAUCGGCCACAUUGGGACUGAGAUACGGCCCAGACUCCUACGGGAGGCAGCAGUGGGGAAUCUUGCGCAAUGAGCGAAAGCCUGACGCAGCGACGCCGCGUGCGGGAGGAAGCCCUUCGGGUGUAAACCGCUGUCAGGGGGAAGAAGUGGCUGGGGAGGAAAUGCCCUGAUUUUGACGGUACCCCCAGAGGAAGCACCGGCUAACUCUGUGCCAGCCGCAGC